AUUGAACGCUGGCGGCAUGCCUUACACAUGCAAGUCGAACGGCAGCACGGGUGCUUGCACCUGGUGGCGAGUGGCGAACGGGUGAGUAAUACAUCGGAACAUGUCCUGUAGUGGGGAAUAGCCCGGCGAAAGCCGGAUUAAUACCGCAUACGAUCUACGGAUGAAAGCGGGGGACCUUCGGGCCUCGCGCUAUAGGGUUGGCCGAUGGCUGAUUAGCUAGUUGGUGGGGUAAAGGCCUACCAAGGCGACGAUCAGUAGCUGGUCUGAGAGGACGACCAGCCACACUGGGACUGAGACACGGCCCAGACUCCUACGGGAGGCAGCAGUGGGGAAUUUUGGACAAUGGGCGAAAGCCUGAUCCAGCAAUGCCGCGUGUGUGAAGAAGGCCUUCGGGUUGUAAAGCACUUUUGUCCAGAAAGAAAUCCUUGGCCCUAAUACGGUCGGGGGAUGACGGUACCGGAAGAAUAAGCACCGGCUAACUACGUG
This 486-nucleotide ribosomal RNA is filed under the name uncultured bacterium. Its description in RNAcentral is "partial 16S ribosomal RNA". It matches the Rfam family "Bacterial small subunit ribosomal RNA", at positions 30 to 507 of the family's 1533-position model. The record is from RNAcentral.